UACGUAUGGGGCAAGCGUUAUCCGGAUUUACUGGGUGUAAAGGGAGCGUAGGUGGUUUGGUUAGUCAGAUGUGAAAGCCCGGGGCUCAACCCCGGUAGUGCAUUUGAAACUGCCAGACUAGAGUGCAGGAGAGGUAAGUGGAAUUCCUAGUGUAGCGGUGAAAUGCGUAGAUAUUAGGAGGAACACCAGUGGCGAAGGCGACUUACUGGACUGUAACUGACACUGAGGCUCGAAAGCGUGGGGAGCAAAC
Molecule: ribosomal RNA, 250 nt
Filed under: uncultured bacterium
Lineage: Bacteria
Description: partial 16S ribosomal RNA
Rfam family: Bacterial small subunit ribosomal RNA
Source: RNAcentral